GACGAACGCUGGCGGCGUGCUUAACACAUGCAAGUCGAACGAUGAAGCCCUUUCGGGGGUACGACGAGCGGCGAACGGGUAGAGUAACAACGUGGGUGGACCUCGCCCUCCAGCUCUGGGAGUAAAGCCUGGGAAACGUAGGGUCGUAAUAACUGGAUAUGACUCCACGGUGCAUGUCGUGGGGUGGAAAGCCUUGUGCGGCUGAGGAUGGGCCCGGCGGCCUAUCAGCUUG
This 232-nucleotide ribosomal RNA is filed under the name uncultured bacterium. Its description in RNAcentral is "partial 16S ribosomal RNA". It matches the Rfam family "Bacterial small subunit ribosomal RNA", at positions 28 to 248 of the family's 1533-position model. The record is from RNAcentral.